RNAcentral lists this ribosomal RNA (245 nucleotides) under uncultured Eubacteriales bacterium. RNAcentral's name for it is "uncultured Clostridiales bacterium partial 16S ribosomal RNA". It matches the Rfam family "Bacterial small subunit ribosomal RNA", at positions 524 to 768 of the family's 1533-position model. Lineage: Bacteria; Bacillati; Bacillota; Clostridia; Eubacteriales. The record is from RNAcentral.
UACGUAGGGAGCAAGCGUUAUCCGGAUUUAUUGGGUGUAAAGGGUGCGUAGACGGGUAUGCAAGUUAGUAGUGAAAAACCCAGGCUCAACUUGGGAGGUGCUACUAAAACUACAUAUCUUGAGUACUGGAGGGGAAAGUGGAAUUCCUAGUGUAGCGGUGAAAUGCGUAGAUAUUAGGAAGAACACCGGUGGCGAAGGCGACUUUCUGGACAGUAACUGACGUUGAGGCACGAAAGUGUGGGGAG